GUGAGGAAUAUUGGUCAAUGGGCGGGAGCCUGAACCAGCCAAGUCGCGUGAAGGAAGAAGGAUCUAUGGUUCGUAAACUUCUUUUGCAGGGGAAUAAAGUGCAGGACGUGUCCUGUUUUGUAUGUACCCUGAGAAUAAGGAUCGGCUAACUCCGUGCCAGCAGCCGCGGUAAUACGGAGGAUCCGAGCGUUAUCCGGAUUUAUUGGGUUUAAAGGGUGCGUAGGUGGUUUGAUAAGUCAGCGGUGAAAGUUUGCAGCUUAACUGUAAAAAUGCCGUUGAAACUGUCGGACUUGAGUUUAAAUGAGGUAGGCGGAAUGCGUGGUGUAGCGGUAAAAUGCAUAGAUAUCACGCAGAACUCCGAUUGCGAAGGCAGCUUACUAAGCUACAACUGACACUGAAGCACGAAAGCGUGGGGAUCAAACAGGAUUAGAAACCCGAGUAGUCC
Molecule: ribosomal RNA, 445 nt
Filed under: uncultured bacterium
Lineage: Bacteria
Description: partial 16S ribosomal RNA
Rfam family: Bacterial small subunit ribosomal RNA
Source: RNAcentral